CCAAAAUUUUGUUUUACUUGUGAAAGAGACAGUAAAAAUUAGGCUGCUAAUCUCCACCUUUGUUUUGGUUUUCUUCUACCACUAGGUUAGUUCUGCAGGACAUGCCGGAGUUCUCCACAUUCCUGAUCAAAAGCACGUUGCUUUUAACACAACCAUAUUGCUGCUGCAGUCGUGGUGAUGGAGGGGAGCCCUCUCUGUUGUGUGAGAAGCUGUUUUCAGAUGGGAAGAAGACUUCUGUCUUAAGCGCAGUUCCUGUUGUUAGAGGUGGAACCUUAGUAAUAUCUGAAAGAGGGACAGCAGCAAAUAGCUGAAUGCCACUGAUACCUGGAACUGACUCUGGUGUUAAUACAGAAGUUGGAUAAUUAUGCCAUUUCACUUCUCUUAGUCCUGACCACUGAGUUUAAGACACAGAGUUUAUGUCUCCAUCCACACCAAAGAAUCAAGGUUGCAGUAUUCAUUAGUGGGAUGUGUAGAGAUUAAAUUACCCCAGCAAGGUCAAGGGAAACAAUUUCCCCACUGUCCUCCAUCAAGUCAGAAAAGACCAAGAUGUCAUGCUUCUUGAAAUCUCUUCCCUUGCCUUGCCUUGCUUUGCCUCAUCUCCCCUCCUAUCCUUUUCCCUUCCCUGUGUUUUCUUUUAAAGUCCUUGUUGCAUCAGCUAUAAAACAUAAUUAGUCAGUCAUAAACGAAUGUAUAAGAUAGCUUUGCAUGUGUUCAGUGCAUUGCCCAUGUGCAACAUUCUAUUUUCAAUUUUUUUUUCUUAGAUCAUCUAAAAGCAGCAGGGUCCAAUGGACUCAGGUUACAUAUAUUUUACAGAAACAGGGCACAUAUGUGAUUAUUGGAAGAAAAAAAAUGUUUUGAAGUAAUUGCCUACAAAAAAAAGCACAGGGGCUUGAAUUUCUUGCAUAAAUAGCUCAGAUCUCUUCAGCACUCCUGUGAUUUACAGUAAUGUAGUGCUACUAGCUUUCAGUAUACAAACAAGUAUACAAGAUGGCAAUAAAUUUAAGUCCUCCUAAGUUUGUUCUUUUAAC
This 1028-nucleotide long non-coding RNA is filed under the name Calidris pugnax (ruff). Its description in RNAcentral is "lncRNA (ENSCPUG00000002169.1)". Lineage: Eukaryota; Metazoa; Chordata; Aves; Charadriiformes; Scolopacidae. The record is from RNAcentral.